GUUACGGCGCGAGGGUCUCUGGGUGCUUUCGCCUCAGAGGGUACUGAAAUUGUUAGUGUUCUAGGGUGUGGGUCUCUUGGGUCGUAAGAGCAAGGCUUGGUGUGAGGUGUACUGCCCGGUGAUUCCCGCACUGUCCUGGGACGCAUGCAGAGUCCGUAGGUUACGACAGGUCCUUACAGCGUCACAGGUAAGCCUCUCCCUGGAGCUGCCAGCCCUGCCUCUGCCAAGAUCGUUCCUAGUGCUUUCCGGAUUUGGUGGUGGGCCAGAGUGGUCCUGUAAUAGGUGGCUUCCUGUUUGAAGGGCUCUCCGAUGAGGAGGAUGACUUUCACCCAAGUGCCAGGUCCACGCCCUCGAGCAGCACGUCCAGCUCCCGCCCAGCUUCCCUGGGGUACAGUGGAGCCGCCGGACCCCGGCCCAUCACUCAGAGCGAGCUGGCCACGGCCCUGGCCCUGGCCAGCACUCCGGAGAGCAGCUCUCACACGCCAACUCCUGGCACCCAGGGCCAUUCCUCUGGGACCUCCCCAAUGUCCUCAGGCGUCCAGUCAGGGACGCCCAUCACCAACGAUCUGUUCAGCCAAGCCCUACAGCAUGCGCUGCAGGCCUCCGGGCAGCCCAGCCUUCAGGUCAGUCUUCCCACUCCUGGUGUCCACGCGGCUCUUUGUCACCUUGGACACUGAGCUUUUUGUGCUCUGUGGAGGCCCUUCCCACUUGGCCUGCUUUGCUCCAGGACAGCUGGGCCGUGACAGUGUGACAGGAGAGGAUGCCCGCAGCAAGGGCGGUUGUCCCUGUGGCUUCCACUCCUGCACCCAGUGA
This 813-nucleotide long non-coding RNA is filed under the name Sus scrofa (pig). Its description in RNAcentral is "lncRNA (ENSSSCG00030016985.1)". The record is from RNAcentral. Lineage: Eukaryota; Metazoa; Chordata; Mammalia; Artiodactyla; Suidae.